UGUUCAUCAGAGUGUAUUUCUAUGUAUUGUUUUGCCUUUCGCCUUUCCUAGCCAACGCGGUACCUGAAGAAAAGUUGAUUUGUUUGGCUAAGUUCAGUUUACCUGACGACGAUACCGCACAAACAUUCACGCUUACGGUGGUAAGAAGCCGCCAAAGUAUCUUUGCAUAUGUGCACGGUUCGACCUGAAAUACCUGGUCCCGUUCGUAUUUGUAGGGGUCUAGUGUGUUAUCCUUGAGUUUUUAGUGAAAAGGCAGUGGAAACAAUAAAACCCACCGCAGUGGUACCGCGAAAGCUUCGCUCAAGAAAUGCGUUCCGUAACCAGCUAAUUAUAUCUUCUGCACUUAUUCAGGUGUUCGCCAUCGUGAUUGAAGAAUCUUCAAACGGCUUUUGAGAGGUUUCCGUGCAGUGAGUGUUUUGAUAUUGUGUCCAGCAAACCGAUGAUUAGUCAUCGUUGAUGGUGGUGCUUUGGUAAUCACGAAAACCAUCUAACCGUGCAGUGGUUAAUUUCCAAAGUUUUACGGAAUGAAGUAUCUAAAAACGUGAUUGUAAGUUGUGUGAAAGAAUCAAAGUAAUUGUGAAGCAUACUAGUUGAGAAAGACAGUGAAAUAGAGCAGCGAACAAUGAAAGACAGCGAUGGAAUUCUGGUGGAUACAUCACUCAACUGGUUUUAUUGAGAAAACCACAUUGUGUUACAGUUUUUCUAUUUUACGUUUGCUAGUCCCGAUGAAAUACGAAUGGAAACAAAGAAGUGACCAUGUCUGCGUGGAUCUGAAGAUUGCAAAUGUCGAAAUCUAUCAAUUUAAAUUUGAAUUGAGUUUUCAUCGACCUAUUUUGGAUAAAUCAAAUUUAUUUAAAUUUGAAUUGGAUAAAAUAUUAUGUUGGUUCCAGCAAAUGACGUAGAAAUAUCUGCUUGAAUAUGCGUGAAGUCUUUAUAUAUCAUACUAUUUCUAAGAAUAAAUCGGAAAAAGUGUCGGCUAGAGCCUAGAAAUGUUAGCGUCUUUGCUGGGUCUUCCCCUUCCUAUGCAUCAUGACAGCGAAAAUAUCUUCAAAGAAAAGAUUUUCUCGCUCCGAGAAUUUAUGCAUUUUUUGUACAUAUAAUAAUUUAGGGCAAAAACGGUUCUUUCAAACCGGAAAAAAAGUUAUAUUUAAAAUGCGGAUUAUAAGAUGAAAUUUAUUUCGAAUAUUUAAUAUAUACAUAUAUUGGCUCACCUACAUAUAUAGAAUCUGAAUCGAAAAUCAAUUCUAUUAUUGCUGAAA
RNA transcript from Hermetia illucens (black soldier fly), 1259 nucleotides. RefSeq lists it as uncharacterized. The record is from RefSeq and is a predicted model, not a curated record. Lineage: Eukaryota; Metazoa; Arthropoda; Insecta; Diptera; Stratiomyidae. The transcript is spliced from 2 exons.